This is a non-coding RNA of Potamilus streckersoni, 77 nucleotides long. The record is from the annotation of a GenBank genome assembly. NCBI's taxonomy places the organism in Eukaryota, Metazoa, Mollusca, Bivalvia, Unionida, Unionidae.
GACCACUCUGGUGGCCUAGUAGUUAGAGCAUCUGCUUUGGAUGCAGGAGGUCGUGGAUUCAAUCCCUGGCCGAGUCA